AGAGUUUGAUCCUGGCUCAGGAUGAACGCUGGCGGUAUGUCUGACACAUGCAAGUCGAACGGUAAGCCACCUUCGGGUGGCCUAGAGUGGCGAACGGCUGAGUAACACGUAGGAACCUACCCCUCAGUUCGGGACAACGGGACGAAAGCCCCGCUAAUACCGGAUAAUACCGAAAGGUUGAAAGGUUUACUGCUGAGGGAGGGGCCUGCGGGCUAUUAGCUUGUUGGUGGGGUAACGGCUCACCAAGGCGAUGAUGGCUAGCUGGUCUGAGAGGAUGAUCAGCCAGACUGGGACUGAGACACGGCCCAGACUCCUACGGGAGGCAGCAGUUCAGAAUCUUGCACAAUGGGCGAAAGCCUGAUGCAGCGAUACCGCGUGGGUGAAGAAGGCCCUCGGGUCGUAAAGCCCUGUCAGAGGGAAAGAUAAUGACGGUACCCUCUAAGGAAGCCACGGCUAAUUACGUGCCAGCAGCCGCGGUA
Molecule: ribosomal RNA, 479 nt
Filed under: uncultured bacterium
Lineage: Bacteria
Description: bacterial SSU rRNA
Rfam family: Bacterial small subunit ribosomal RNA
Source: RNAcentral